GAUUUCUUAUGGGAUGGGGCGUGUCCUGCUGACGGAGGGAACCGCAAUUCAGACACUUGGGAAAUGGGGGAAACCUUUCCAGAUCCCAGCCACACAGAUACUGAGGUCUUCCAAAAGUGUAUAAGCCUCUGGCCCCACACAAUCUGGAUCAUCCCCUGGAGUCAAGGAUGGAAAGUUAUACAGCCACAAAGGCACUGAGGCCAGACUUCUUGCAGGAGACAUCUUAAAUUGUAUUUUAUGAGAGGACCAGUUUGCAGAAGCAAACUGCAAAGACUGUAAGGAAAUAUCAUGAAACAUCCGGACAUACAGUCUCAUUUGCCUACACUGAGUCACUAUUAGAGGAGGGCAUUGAGAGGACAACUACUAAUUGACCCUUGAGUUGGACCCAGGCAUUAGGAAGCACCUCACCUCCUCCCAUGUCCUUGGAAUGUAUGCUGUAUCCAUCAUUCUCACAGAAGGAGCCGUCUUCAAGGACGAAGCCUUGAGAAAACAAUGUAUUGUUGAGACCAUCUGAACAGCAUCUGUGACUGAGCCUACUUAAGGUCUACAUAUAAACUCUUAAAAUUCUGGUGGGUAAAGAAAUCUACUUGUGGCCACAUAGGACAAGCUUUGCUCCUGGGUUUCAGCAGUUGGUCACAGCUACCUUGAAGACAGUCUUUCCUUGUGUCUUCAACUGACGCAUUAAUUCUCUUCUGGAUCUUGAAGUGAUCUCCUCCUGUUGGACAGAGAUACAAUAUCAGCAAUUUAUGACUACAUUCCUGAAGACAUUCCUGAGAAGGAAGGGAGUUGAGCAGGAAGAGCAGUUAACAGCUAAACAAAGGCCUAAUUAAGAAUUAAAUUAUUCAGUUCUAAUUGCCAAAAAUACUGGGGGCAUUAAAAUCACAGGGAGCUUG
Long non-coding RNA from Pteropus alecto (black flying fox), 893 nucleotides. RefSeq lists it as uncharacterized. The transcript is spliced from 3 exons. The record is from RefSeq and is a predicted model, not a curated record. NCBI's taxonomy places the organism in Eukaryota, Metazoa, Chordata, Mammalia, Chiroptera, Pteropodidae.